UUACCAUGAACAUUUUCAUUGCCGUUUUUAAGUCAACUUACCAAGUCAUGCGGGUAUUAAAGGACUUGUUUGAUAAACAAAAAAUGUUAUAAGAAUGAGCUAUGUUUCAUAUGACUAUUAUUUUACUUGGAAUAGUGUAAGAUAACUUAUCAUAAUUUGCAUAAAAUUUAUGCUAUUUAAAUGACAAUCAGUUUUAGCUGCUGAAGAGUACCAAAUGAUUUUUUAGUUAUAUUAUAUAUUUGAUAUUUUCUACUUGAAAAUUACUCGAUGAUUUUUUUUUUAAAAUAGGAAAAUAUUGAUUGAUUUUUUUUUUAAGGAAAAGGAUGAGAGGAGUGAUCUUAAAAAGUGGUUAGACAACUAUCGCCAUAAAAAGAAAUUCAAUUUGCCAAAAAAAUGCAAAACGUGUUUCUGUGGGUAAGUAACACUUAUGUAUUUGUUUGUAUUGGUCAGUUACGCCGAAAUGUAUGCCUUAAAUCUGUUCGGUAGAUAAAAAAUGAAAAAGAACAUUUAGACAAAAUAACAAUGGCUAUGUACGUGAAAAAAGAUCCCCAUUAUAAAAAAUACAUAUAUUUGUAUGUUAAAUAAAAUUAAGAAUGGAAAAUGGGGAAUACGUCAGAGAGACAACAAUCCCAAGAGCAGAAAGCAGCCUCUAUAAAUGGAUCUUCACAUGAAGGUGGGGAUUCAACUGGCCCCUUAAUGAUCAUUUGUCUAGAUCAAAAAUAAAUGAACAAAAAUUUUAAAAAUAACAUACAAGUUUGACAAAGCCAGAGGUUGGUGAAAAUUAAUAACUAAAUGGUAAUGCUGGAUUUUGCAAUGUUUAGAUAUUGAUAUAAAAGAACGUUAAUCAUUUUGUAUGGCUGUUUUACGUUUUACAGUUGUAUGUUAUAACAAGAACCUUUCGGAGCACAGUCGGGAAUUCCUUGAAUAUAGAUAUGUAUGAAAUGUGUUUAGCAUGUGACUGUGUGUUUUAUGUUUGCUUGUAAUGUUCAUGAAUCAUUUUAAAUUUCAUAAACUUUAUUUUUUAAGUCAUUCUACAGGCAGUGGAAAUUCUUUUCCUUUUCAUUUUUCCGUUGCGAUGUACUUCGAAUCUGUUUUGGUUGCAUUGUUUACUAUCAUACCUCAUUGUACAAGAACCACGUGUUUAAGAUUAAAUGCAAAUUAGAAACUGUAGGAAUUCUGUCACAAUUCAUAAUUUAACUACACUCCUAAAAUGUAUUGUAGUUUUGGGAGUUCAAUUAGUAAAGAUGCUACUAGUAAAUGGAAAACCCAUUUGGAAAAUAUCAUAAAAAAAUGUAUCUAAACAUUUGAAUGUUCUUAGAAAAUUAAAGUACAGGAUAAGUAGGAGUAACUUAGAAAUUUGAAAUCGAACUAAAAAAUCUUAAAUUGAAUUCAAAAGCCCAUGUACUAAAAAAUUAUGACUUUGGAAAUCGCUAACUCAACAUUAGUUUGACACAACUUAGAUACUCAGCCUCUUUUUUGAAUUAUGAUCUUAAAAGAGUCAACAUUAUUUCAGAAUACGUCUUGCAGAACUUUGUGGUGCUAAGUGCGAAGAUUCACGUCACUUCUUUUUUUAUUGUCCUAAUUAUGUGAAUAUAAGAAUCAAAUUAUUUAAUAAUCUAUAUUGGUUGCCAGAGAACUCUCCACUAAAUCAUCUUAACCUCAGGUGAUACGUCUUUAACUAAUGUUGAAAAUGAAAGAAUUGUAAAGAAUGUAUAUAAAUUUAUUCAAAAGUCUAAGAGGUUUCUAAUUGUGUAAUAUCGGACAUUAUAAAGUGCAAAUGCAUGCAUAUUGUGUAUAACCAUUCACAUCAUCACAAACCAUUUUUUCACAGUUCCAAUAUUUUAUACAUAGAGAAUAAUACAUGGCAAAAUACGUAUCAUAUGCCCGUUAAUCCCGAGAUACCAAUAUCAACCAGAGUGCCUUUAGACCCGAGGGAUGAUAUUGGUUGAGGGAGAUACGGCAUGUGAUACGGAUUUUGCCAUGUUUUAUACGCUUUAUCAUAUAUCUCAACAGGAGAGUAGCACCUGUGUUACCUCCAGUUCUACUUUUGUCUUGUUUUAAAAGCUUUAAAAGAACUGCUCAAUUACUCAUCGGAAGCACCUGGGUUACCUUAUAAUUUGCGUGCUGGUUGUUUUAAAAAAUGUUUUGUUAAUUGGUUUUUUUUUAUGUGUGUGUGUUUUGAAUGGUAUUUAAUUGAGUUCUUUUUAUAGUUUCAUUUCGUGUGCCAGAAAUUAUGAAAAUUCUACGUUUAUCACGUCACAUUUCUAACAAUGAGGUAAUUCAAAAAAUUGCGUCACGCCCGAAUGACCGUUCAUUUGGGACCCAUUUUGCGGAAAAUAUUUCUUGAGACGGACUUUAUUUAAAAAUGAAAAAAAAGGAGUAGGGGUGUGGUAAAGGGUAUGAUAAAAGGUGCGCAUUAAAGUUGCGCGAAAUGGAUUAAACAGCAAGCUAUUUAUCAAAUAUUCAAAACUACUCUAUUUACUACUAAAUAUAUGAUAAAUAUAUAUAAUAAAAAGUAGAACAUGCAAUGAAAAUAAACAAUACAGAAACUUUCUACGAUAAUCCUUUCUGUAAUAAAACUAUUUACAAAACCUAAGUCGUACCCCCACUAGAACAUGUAACGUGUACAUUACUUAUAAAUGCUUAUAUAAAAAUUUGAAGAUGUGGUAAGAUUGCAAGGGAGACAACUCUCCAACAGAGACCAAAUCACAUAUAAGUUUUCAACUCUAGGUAACACUACGGCAAUAGCAAAACACAUAUACCGCAUAGUCAAAUAUUAAAGGCCCCAAGUGACAGACUAAGAAACUUCUACAGUGCGAGCUAUUAUUCCUGUUUCGAGCCGAGUACAAAUACAUAUGGUAUUUAAAAACACUAAACAGUAUAUUUUUAAAAAAUGUAACUGACUAAUUCUGAGUUUUUCUUAUGUUUGUCAGUCUGUUUCUGUAUAGCUAUGACCAAAAUUGUUGUUUUGUUUGUUUUACUUAAAGAAUAAGGGUUUUUGUAUAAGAUUUAAGGACGCCUCAUGAUUUAUGAUUUUUUGCAGGUGUAUCGAGAUAGUUGAUGGUUGAUGGUUACAUACUUUAAAAGAAAAGAAGAUAUUAGUGUACAAACGCCAUCGUGUUAUAGGAUGCACAGUAACCAUAGCAUUUCCAAUGACAUUAUUGGUUUUAUGCUCAAUACUGCACCGCCUUCGAGAAUAUCUGAUAUUUUACUUAACUUGCUCAAAAGUUUUGUUUAUGUUUGUUGUUUUGUCUGUGCUCUUUCAUUUAAAUCCCAGCUAGGUUGUAUAAAUCGACAGAGG
RNAcentral lists this long non-coding RNA (3301 nucleotides) under Mytilus galloprovincialis (Mediterranean mussel). The record is from RNAcentral. Lineage: Eukaryota; Metazoa; Mollusca; Bivalvia; Mytilida; Mytilidae.